UACAGAAUGGCUGUAAAAAUGUUAGAAGCUCUUAAGGGAUCAAAUGGCCUGCAAUGAAGACAGAAGCAAAGAGCUGAGGUACACCAAAGAAAAUGUCUCUGUAGGAGACCAGAUAAGGAAUUAUACUGGCCAGGCAUGGUAGUACAAGUAUGUGCACAGAAGUAUUUAACACAUGAAUUGUAAAUGAUAACACUUUAAUAGGAUAGACGUGCUCUCAGGAAAGCAGGCACUUGGUGUGUAUCAGAAAUCCUGAGAGUCGGAAUAAAUCAAGUCUAGGACUUUCCUAGUCAGUCUUUUUUCCCCAAAGUUACAAAGAAAAGAAAUUAGAGUGGUCAAUUUUUUUAGGACCAGGGCAUACCUUUCAAUGACUUCCCGAGUGUCCCACCCCUAACUCCUACUGAAGCAGCCCAACCUCACCAGUGUAUAAAUAGUGACACUUCCUGCCCUAACUCGAACUUUUCUUCCUCCAAAAUGGGCAAGCCUCACUUAACAAGAUAUCUCAUCUUACUCGGCUAUUUGAAGGUUUUCUCUGCAUCAUUUCCACAUGAGAUAGACAAAUCAGAUAAAGUACUUGUUCGUGAAAAUAACAACGUUGUGGAAAUUGUGCAGUGUAGGAUGUGCCACCUCCAGUUCCCUGGGGAAAAAUGCUCCAGAGGAAGAGGAAUAUGUACCGCAACAGCAGAAGAGGCCUGUAUGGUGGGAAAGAUGUACAAAAGGGAUGGUACCAUCUGGUUAAACUUCAUGGGCUGCUUAAAGAACUGUGCCAAUGUGAAAAACAUAAGGUGGGGCUCCUAUCUGGUAAACUUCAGGUGUUGCCGGGGCUAUGACAUGUGCAAUGAAACAUUUUAGACGUGCUUCAACAUCUGGGUGACGAGAUGGCUUCUCCACAAGGACUCCCUGUGGCUAGCACUACAUUUAGAAGGACUGCAAGCACAUGACUCUGCCACCUACGUGUGACAGUUCCUUCUUUCUCCACACCUGACUCAUGACUCCACUUCAUAAUGCUGAAACCCCAGAAGAGUACAGCUAUAAUAGGGCCCAUUCUGCAAUCCACAGUGUGACGGAGAAGACUCGGCAAAUCCUCUGCUCUAGGCUCCGGUGCCCGGAUGCAUGGAAGGGAGCACUGCAGUAGUGGCCAGAGAAAUCCAGUCGCAUCAUCUUGACUUGUUAUGCCCUUCACAACAUUUCCCUGAAACAGGGAAUGGAUAGUUGGUCCUAUCCAGUGACUGGGCCCAUUGAACAGCCAGUGGCGUCCCUGGACUUAGAAGCUGACUAAAUCUGGCAGGAGCUGAUGCUCCCUCGCUUUAGUUAUAUGGAAGAUGGAGGACUGAAAUCUCAAGGUCCAAAUCAGGAGCAGAAGGAGAGCGAGCACGAGCAAGGAACUCAGGACCACGAGGGGUGCACCCAAACACUGAGACAAUGGGGAUGUUCUAUCGGGAACUCACCAAGGCCAGCUGGCCUGGGUCUGAAAAAGCCUGGGUUAAAACAGGUCUCACUGAACAUAGCGGACAAUGAGGGCUACUGAGACCUCAAGAACAAUGGCAAUGGGUU
This is an RNA transcript of Alexandromys fortis (reed vole), 1551 nucleotides long. It is a transcript of the gene named prostate and testis expressed 1, with no coding region annotated. The record is from RefSeq and is a predicted model, not a curated record. The transcript is spliced from 6 exons. Lineage: Eukaryota; Metazoa; Chordata; Mammalia; Rodentia; Cricetidae.